CCGAGUUGUAAUUUGUAGAAGAUGCUUCGGGUGUGGCUCCGGUCUAAGUUCCUUGGAACAGGACGUCAUAGAGGGUGAGAAUCCCGUAUGUGACUGGGUGCCUACGCCCGUGUGAAGCUCUUUCGACGAGUCGAGUUGUUUGGGAAUGCAGCUCAAAAUGGGUGGUAAAUUUCAUCUAAAGCUAAAUACUGGCCAGAGACCGAUAGCGCACAAGUAGAGUGAUCGAAAGAUGAAAAGCACUUUGGAAAGAGAGUUAAACAGUACGUGAAAUUGUUGAAAGGGAAGCGCUUGCAAUCAGACUUGCGCCCGGGCGAUCAUCUGGGGUUCUCCCCAGGGCACUCGUCCGGGCUCAGGCCAGCAUCAGUUCUCGUGGUGGGAUAA
RNAcentral lists this ribosomal RNA (381 nucleotides) under Leotiomycetes sp. 2247 RO-2014. Its description in RNAcentral is "LSU rRNA". It matches the Rfam family "Eukaryotic large subunit ribosomal RNA", at positions 138 to 522 of the family's 3401-position model. The record is from RNAcentral. RNAcentral also lists the same sequence under 1 other name. Lineage: Eukaryota; Fungi; Ascomycota; Leotiomycetes.